Molecule: ribosomal RNA, 374 nt
Filed under: uncultured organism
Description: bacterial SSU rRNA
Rfam family: Archaeal small subunit ribosomal RNA
Source: RNAcentral
CCAGCACCCCGAGUGGUCGGGACGAUAUUGGGCCUAAAGCAUCCGUAGCCGGUUUACAAGUCCUCCGUUAAAUCCAGCUGCUUAACAGGAUGGGCUACGGAGGAUACUAUAAGACUAGGAGGCAGGAGAGGCAAGCGGUACUCAGUGGUAGGGGUAAAAUCCGUUGAUCCAUUGAAGACCACCAGUGGCGAAGGCGGCUUGCCAGAAUGCGCUCGACGGUGAGGGAUGAAAGCUGGGGGGAGCAAACCGGAUUAGAUACCCGGGUAGUCCCAGCUGUAAACGAUGCAGACUCGGUGAUGGACUAGCUUUAUGCUAGUCCAGUGCCGCAGGGAAGCCGUUAAGUCUGCCGCCUGGGUAGUACGGUCGCAAGACUG